This 28-nucleotide small RNA is filed under the name Bombyx mori (domestic silkworm). RNAcentral describes it as "ovarian small RNA-13595". Lineage: Eukaryota; Metazoa; Arthropoda; Insecta; Lepidoptera; Bombycidae. The record is from RNAcentral.
CCAUCUGGUAUCAUAGACAAGACAGCGC